This 253-nucleotide ribosomal RNA is filed under the name uncultured bacterium. Its description in RNAcentral is "partial 16S ribosomal RNA". It matches the Rfam family "Bacterial small subunit ribosomal RNA", at positions 524 to 776 of the family's 1533-position model. The record is from RNAcentral.
UACGGAGGGUGCAAGCGUUAUCCGGAUUUACUGGGUUUAAAGGGUGCGUAGGCGGGCCUAUAAGUCAGUGGUGAAAUCUCCGGGCCUAACCCGGAAACUGCCAUUGAUACUAUGGGUCUUGAAUACAGUUGAGGUGGGCGGAAUGUGUCGUGUAGCGGUGAAAUGCUUAGAUAUGACACAGAACACCGAUUGCGAAGGCAGCUCGCUAAACUGUGAUUGACGCUGAGGCACGAAAGCGUGGGGAUCAAACAGG